This 430-nucleotide ribosomal RNA is filed under the name bacterium. Its description in RNAcentral is "partial 16S ribosomal RNA". It matches the Rfam family "Bacterial small subunit ribosomal RNA", at positions 355 to 776 of the family's 1533-position model. The record is from RNAcentral.
UGGGGAAUAUUGGACAAUGGGCGGAAGCCUGAUCCAGCCAUGCCGCGUGUGUGAAGAAGGCCUUUUGGUUGUAAAGCACUUUAAGCGAGGAGGAGGCUACUUGGAUUAAUACUCUAGGAUAGUGGACGUUACUCGCAGAAUAAGCACCGGCUAACUCUGUGCCAGCAGCCGCGGUAAUACAGAGGGUGCGAGCGUUAAUCGGAUUUACUGGGCGUAAAGCGUGCGUAGGCGGCUUCUUAAGUCGGAUGUGAAAUCCCUGAGCUUAACUUUGGAAUUGCAUUCGGUACUUGGGAGCUUGAGUAAGGGGGAGGGUGGGAGAAUUCCAGGUUUAGCGGUGAAAUGCGUAGAGAUCUGGAGGAAUACCGAUGGCGAAGGCAGCCAUCUGGCCUAAUACUGACGCUGAGGUACGAAAGCAUGGGGAGCAAACAGG